AAUCUAAGUGUGAUAUUUGUACUCAAAAAUUUCUUCCUUGACCAGGGAUAGGUCCCAGAUCUGACAUACCAUCUCAAGUUGACGUAAUUUGUGCUGAUACUAAACGUAGUUCGAUAGAUGCUCUACCUCUUGCACUAAUGACCUAUCACAUGCAGGCUAACAGCCAUAUGUAUCUAACACCGCAUGAAAUGCUUACGGGUCGACCCAUGUCUGUGUCUGUUCCUUGUGAUGGACUGCCGCUGGAGUAAUUGCAGAUGAAUCAAAAACAUAUAUGAGACCACUAACUAUUAUGUAUGGAGCUAUAUAUUCACAGGAACAGAGCUGAGUGCAGUGUUAUGUGUGAGGCGUCACCACCUCAACGGGGGGAGGUGUUCACCCGGAGGUAGGAGACCCGGAGGUGUUCACGCGGAGGUAGGAGACCCGGAGGUGUUCACCCGGAGGUGGGAGACACGGAGCAGCGAGAGAAUGCUGACUACGAGAAUGCUGACUACAGGGCAGCAGCGGACUAGAACAUGCAACCCCUGGAGGAUGCUCAAUCCUCCAAUGACGAGAUGGUGGGGAACACGUGAAGGUCCGGUACGAAGCUGCUGUGUAUGAAGCUGCCGUCAACGGGGGGUCUGCUCAGUCAGUGGCAGACAGGAUGAGAAGAUGUGAAGAUCCAUACCCUGGGUGUACGUGCUAGCCUAACCUCUCCCCAAAGGGUGGCUCUCUACAGUACGUAAAGUGCUUGAGCUGAAGACAACCAGCAUACAGAGAGAUACUGCAUACAACAGACUGUCAAGUAUUGCUAUAAAAUGUUAUAAAAUGUUUGUGAUAUGACGCACUCAGGCAUGAGAAAAGUGUAAUGGUGCUGUCGAGCACAUAGUGCUGACAGGGUGGGAACCUCGUAGGAGGUUUUUUCGCCCACCCCUGACUGCGAAAGACUGGGGUUUGGUUUUUGAGGGGAAGCAAGAAUCUGCAGGUCCCGACAAAUACAAAACUGUGGGCUGACAGGCCUAGUUGAGAAAGAUAGGGACGUGUAGAUCAAGUAGUUAGUUACUGUAGUGGCCACUAAUACGUACGGCAGUAGUAGUAGUAAUGAAUGAUUAGGGGAACUCAGUUAAUCACACUUAUAAUCAAUGUAGGCAAACAAACGUAUAAUCAAGGUAGUUAGAUUUGAAAUGAGAUAUAUAUACAUAGUUGAAAGGAGAAGUAGGUUAAGGGUUAAGAGUUAUGGCUAAGUACAUCUACACAUGUCCGGCGCAAAGUGGAUGUAGGGGGGUCCUAAGGCCCAUUCUCCAGCUGCCAAUCUACUAUGAGACCCCGGGGUGCACAACACUAGCACGUCUCCCACCAGGUCUACAAAACCUCCUCAGCUCCUAUUCAGAUCAGUGUUGCAUAGAAGUGGUUAAUGUAAGGGACCCAUUUGAGUACAGGGACGGGCGCAGGGAUUAUGGCUUCGUUAGAGUAAUCCUCCGACAGCUAGCGGGGGACGGCCAUGGGGUGCGGCAGAAUCAGUUCCUCCACGCUUAAUUAAGGUAUUGUAUGAGGCUUCAUAGCCUCAGAGGGGGAAAUGUUGUGGAUAAAAAAUGUCAUAAAAUAAACAUAAGGGAGACCUAGCAUCCAGCAAAGGGGAGAAGAAGAAAAGACGGGCACCUAGACACAUAGAAGCGGGAUUAGGCGGACAUUGACAAAUUGGAAUUACACUUUAAAGAUCUUUAAGAGCAGUAAUAGUCAAAAAAAGGUAUACGAGCUGAGCUGAGGAGUGCUAAUACACACACACACACACGCUCGUACAGUCAAGGGCGGGCAAGUAGACACAACAUUACACACACACUCUCUCGCUCUCAUACACACACAUGAAUAACUUAAUAAUAUCUUAUAGUAAUAGAG
Molecule: long non-coding RNA, 1872 nt
Organism: Ictalurus punctatus (channel catfish)
Lineage: Eukaryota; Metazoa; Chordata; Actinopteri; Siluriformes; Ictaluridae
Source: Ensembl